UGAGUACGAGAUGCUACGGCAUCGAAGCAGUCUAUGUCAUACUUCCAAGAAAAGCUUGCACUGUCAUAAACAAAGAAUGCCUGUACCAUAACCGACACAGGUGGGUAGGUAGAGUAUACUAAGGGGCGCGAGAUAACUCUCUCUAAGGAACUCGGCAAAAUGACUCCGUAACUUCGGGAGAAGGAGUGCCUUAUUUCUAAGGUUGCAAUAACAAGAUCCAAGCAACUGUUUACCAAAAACACAGGUCUCCGCUAAGUCGUAAGACGAUGUAUGGGGGCUGACGCCUGCCCAGUGCCAGAAGGUUAAAGAAGUUGGUUAGCAUUAGCGAAGCUGAUAACUGAAGCCCUGGUGAACGGCGGCCGUAACGAUAACGGUCCUAAGGUAGCGAAAUUCCUUGUCGGGUAAGUUCCGACCCGCACGAAAGGCGUAAUGAUUUGGAUACUGUCUCGGAGAGGGGCUCGGUGAAAUAGACUUGUCUGUGAAGAUGCGGACUACCUGCACCUGGACAGAAAGACCCUAUGAAGCUUUACUGUAACUUGAGAUUGAAAUUGGACUUUAUUUGCGCAGUAUAGGUGGGAGGCGUUGAGAAUAAUCUUGCGGGAUUGUUGGAGCCAUCAGUGAGAUACCACUCUUGUAAUGUUAGAUUUCUAACUUUGUAUCAUUAUCUGGUCAAAGAACAGUUUCAGGCGGGCAGUUUGACUGGGGCGGUCGCCUCCCAAAGGGUAACGGAGGCGCACAAAGGUUUCCUCUGAACGGGUAGAAAUCGUAUCUAGAGUGUAAAGGCAUAAGGAAGCUUGACUGUGAGACCUACAAGUCGAGCAGGGACGAAAGUCGGUCUUAGUGAUCUGACGGUGCUGAGUGGAAAGGCCGUCACUCAACGGAUAAAAGUUACUCUAGGAUAACAGGCUGAUCUCCCCCAAGAGUUCACAUCGACGGGGAGGUUUGGCACCUCGAUGUCGGCUCAUCGCAUCCUGGGGCGGUAGUCCGUCCCAAGGGUUGGGCUGUUCGCCCAUGAAAGCGGUACGCGAGCUGGGUUCAGAACGUCGUGAGACAGUUCGGUCCAUAUCCGGUGUAGGCGUUAGAAUAUUGAGAGGAGCCUUCUCUAGUACGAGAGGACCGAGAAGGACAUACCUCUGGUGUACCAGUUAUCGUGCCAACGGUAAACGCUGGGUAGCUAUGUAUGGAGUGGAUAACCGCUGAAAGCAUCUAAGUGGGAAGCCCACCUCAAGAUAAGUAUUCUCACC
RNAcentral lists this ribosomal RNA (1244 nucleotides) under metagenome. RNAcentral's name for it is "bacterial LSU rRNA". It matches the Rfam family "Bacterial large subunit ribosomal RNA", at positions 1564 to 2818 of the family's 2925-position model. The record is from RNAcentral.